Long non-coding RNA from Cercocebus atys (sooty mangabey), 429 nucleotides. RefSeq lists it as uncharacterized. The transcript has 3 exons. NCBI's taxonomy places the organism in Eukaryota, Metazoa, Chordata, Mammalia, Primates, Cercopithecidae. The record is from RefSeq and is a predicted model, not a curated record.
AGAAAUCUAGUGGAGGACUCCGAUCCCUAGGGGAAGUAGGGCCACUGGACCCAAUUCUUGCAUAAUCUUGUGUGGUAUUUCCCUGCCUCUGCUGACCUUCAUUAGAGGGCUAACAGGAUGAUUGUUCCUGUGUAGAUGUUGCCUUGGUCUUUGUCUCCUGAGGAGUCACAGAAAGAAAGACACAGACAAGGACUGGGAGGUGGAACUUGGAAGUGCUGGAGAUGAGCUAGCUGUGGCUGUAUGGACAAAGGCAAGACCCUAUGGGAUGGCCGAGCAACCAGACAGAAGAACUCUUGAGACCUCAAGGAAAAUAACUGCCCGCAACUGCUCUUGACACUCUCUCCCUCUGGCCUGUUGUGUGGGAGAGAAAUAAACUUCUAUGUUAUUCAAACCACUGGAUUUAUGGGUCUUAUUGGUACAGCAGCUUGU